UUUCCGUAGGUGAACCUGCGGAAGGAUCAUUAACGAGUUAAGGUCUUCUAGGCCCGACCUCCCAACCCUUUGUUUACUGAACCAUUGUUGCCUCGGUGGGUCCGUCUUACGACCGCCGGGGGAUCGCCGCGAGGCGCCCCCUGGCCAGCGCCCACCGAUAGCCCAACCUUUAAAACCCUUUGUGAAUCGUGUCUUAUGUCUAAAUUUAUGAUUAAACAAUCAAAACAAAACUUUCAACAACGGAUCUCUUGGUUCUG
This 257-nucleotide unclassified non-coding RNA is filed under the name plant metagenome. RNAcentral describes it as "partial contains small subunit ribosomal RNA, internal transcribed spacer 1, and 5.8S ribosomal RNA". The record is from RNAcentral.